CAGGUUGUUACCGUUUCAAUAUCUCGUAACAAAGGCCGGGUCUAUCGGUAACGAAAACCCG
RNAcentral lists this small RNA (61 nucleotides) under Ectopseudomonas oleovorans. RNAcentral describes it as "Pseudomonas oleovorans P36". It matches the Rfam family "Pseudomonas sRNA P36". The record is from RNAcentral. RNAcentral also lists the same sequence under 2 other names. Lineage: Bacteria; Pseudomonadati; Pseudomonadota; Gammaproteobacteria; Pseudomonadales; Pseudomonadaceae.